UACAGAGGUCUCAAGCGUUGUUCGGAUUCAUUGGGCGUAAAGGGUGCGUAGGUGGCGUGGUAAGUCGGGUGUGAAAUUUCGGAGCUUAACUCCGAAACUGCAUUCGAUACUGCUGUGCUUGAGGACUGGAGAGGAGACUGGAAUUUACGGUGUAGCAGUGAAAUGCGUAGAUAUCGAGAGGAACACCGGUGGCGAAGGCGGCUAUCUGGACAGUGACUGACGCUGAGACGCGAAAGCGUGGGGAGCAAACAGG
RNAcentral lists this ribosomal RNA (253 nucleotides) under uncultured bacterium. RNAcentral describes it as "partial 16S ribosomal RNA". It matches the Rfam family "Bacterial small subunit ribosomal RNA", at positions 524 to 776 of the family's 1533-position model. The record is from RNAcentral.